RNAcentral lists this ribosomal RNA (228 nucleotides) under uncultured bacterium. Its description in RNAcentral is "partial 16S ribosomal RNA". It matches the Rfam family "Bacterial small subunit ribosomal RNA", at positions 568 to 795 of the family's 1533-position model. The record is from RNAcentral.
UGCGCAGGCGGCUUUUUAAGACAGGUGUGAAAUCCCCGGGCUUAACCUGGGAAUGGCGCUUGUGACUGGAAGGCUAGAGUGCGGCAGAGGGGGAUGGAAUUCCUGGUGUAGCAGUGAAAUGCGUAGAUAUCAGGAGGAACACCGAUGGCGAAGGCAGUCCCCUGGGUCGACACUGACGCUCAGGCACGAAAGCGUGGGGAGCAAACAGGAUUAGAUACCCUGGUAGUC